GCCCAGACUCCUACGGGAGGCAGCAGUGGGGAAUAUUGGGCAAUGGGCGCAAGCCUGACCCAGCAACGCCGCGUGAAGGAAGAAGUAUUUCGGUAUGUAAACUUCUAUCAGCAGGGAAGAAAAUGACGGUACCUGACUAAGAAGCCCCGGCUAACUACGUGCCAGCAGCCGCGGUAAUACGUAGGGGGCAAGCGUUAUCCGGAUUUACUGGGUGUAAAGGGAGCGUAGGCGGUUUAGCAAGUCAGAAGUGGAAUCCCGGGGCUCGACUCCGGGACUGCUUUUGAAACUGUUGAACUAGAUUGCAGGAGAGGUAAGUGGAAUUCCUAGUGUAGCGGUGAAAUGCGUAGAUAUUAGGAGGAACACCAGUGGCGAAGGCGGCU
This 380-nucleotide ribosomal RNA is filed under the name uncultured bacterium. RNAcentral describes it as "bacterial SSU rRNA". It matches the Rfam family "Bacterial small subunit ribosomal RNA", at positions 329 to 726 of the family's 1533-position model. The record is from RNAcentral.